AUAAAACAGUAGUUUUAAACAGUGUCUUUUUGCCAUUGUAGUAUUUUUUAUUUGUAAUUAUUAUUCUCAUCAACCAUGCAAGAUUAUUAACGGAAUAAUAAUUUUGUGUAGUGGGGUGUAUGCUUAUUUUAAUGGAUAUUUAACCUCUUCAAAACGUUAUUCCUACAUUUAAGUUGUCCUUAUUUAUACAGAAAAAUCUUCUGGAGACUCAAGGAUUCUGUUUUGUUUUCAGUCACUUUAUCACCAACCUCAUAGAGCACUUUAUUUCAUCUCCUUGUUUCAAAUAGUUUUUUUUUUAAAUGAUACAGUAUCUCUUGGAGCAACUGGAUGGCGGUAUGCAUAACUCGACCAAGCGCCAAAACAUAGUUUUGAGAUAAACGGCUUCAAAGUUUUUCGUUUCUUGGUUGCUUAAUGGUCACUUAAUGGUAAGUGGAUUAAUGUCGCUUAGUUUAAUUUUGUUUUUCGUAGUAACCGUUAACGUGACAAUAACAGGGAUUUUUUCCAAGAUAGUUUUAGCUAUGUGUCACCAGAAUCCGCUGUUAUCUCGAUAUUAAAGAAAUGGCGCUUGGUCGAGUUAUGCAUAACGCCAUCCAACUACAACUUCUGAUCUACUUACUUACAUUAAAAACCUUAUCUGACUCUAAAGUCUAUCUUUAUGAUAGAGAGAGUAUUAUAGAAUCGGAGGUACCAGUUAACACGUUCCGUGUGGAUGGCAUACAUGUGAGCCACAUGAUGCCUUCACCAAUGUGCAGAUUGCACGCAUAUAAUGCCAUUGAUUCAGAGUAUAAGUCUUAUAUAAGAGUAUAUUCAGUAUAAGAGUAUAAGUCUUAGGAUCAGACAUCUGCAAGCAAUAUGUUAAAAUUAUGCUAUAAUACUCUCUCGAUCAUAAAGAUAAACUAUAAUUUACUCUAUUGUAAUGUGGAUCAGACAGUAGCAUUAUCCUACAAAGGAGCUCUUCAACCCUUGCUUCUUAACCAGGCCUUGGUUGCUAUAUGAGAUUUUCUCUCACAGUUUCAGAAUAUUGCACACAACUUUUUCCCUGGUAAAUUACACAUAUUGUAGAUCCUUCUAGUCUCCUAAUUACCUUCCUCUACAAUCGAAUAGACUCGUCUGCUCAGAUGGUGGUUCAGUUGACUUAGUAUGACCCGAUUGUUAAGUCAGUACGCUUCAUGUAAGAUAUUCUCACAUCGCACGACCACCGCAUAUAAUAUUAUUAAUAUAUUAAUUGUAUAUUGUAUAUUGUAGCAUUAUUUUAUUUUGUAAUAGUUAAUUUUAGAAGUUGCCCUAUUACAGGACAAUAAAAUAAAGGUAUCACAUAGUACAAAUUUGAAAUUUGUAUUGAAAUAUUAAAAUUAACAAUAUUUCUACAUUUUUAGAUUAAAGUGUAAAAGCACAUCAACAGUCACAUUGUGAUAAGCUAAUAAUAACUUUAUUACGUUUAAAACCUAUUUUGAAAAUUUUAUUUCGUAAAAAAAGACAAAAGUUGUAUAUACUAUAUACUUCAUCUAAUUUACUAACCGUUGCACGUCAUCCGCGUCAUAGCCUGUGACGUCGCAUGAUACCAACACGAAAUAUUUAGGCGGUAGGUGUGUUCUUUUUUAGAAUCACGUUGCCGAAUACACUGGAAUUACAGCCACUAGACAUAUUUUAUUAUAUACGCCUAGAAAUAAUAUUUGAAGAAUUCUAUUAAUGUUAACCCGAGUGUUAACCUAAAGAAAUACACAAUAAUAUGUUUCAUUUAAUUUGUAUAAAUGGAUUAAAAAGCGUUUUUAUGAAGCACAUUUACUCGAAUCACACUGUAACUGUAAUCGAACGAAGGUGACAUUUUAGAAUAAAUUGGUAACAUUUAUUUGACAGUUGCGGUGAUGACACUUCAUAUUUGUUUAUAUUCUUUACUAUAAGUAUCUGUUUUAUUAUAUUUACUGUUUUAAUUAUUUACUUUAUUAUAAAAACAUUCUCUAGGUACUAUAAAAAUAUAAAUUUCACCUAAUUUUAUCACGACUUAAAAUAAUCGAGGUAUCUGACAACUUUUUUAGUUGUUAUUGUAGACAUAGAUAUACAAAGAAACCUACCGGCAUCAUGCCAAGAGUUCGGAGCCGUUUUUUAAUUAUUAACAACGCAGUGCAAAAACGCUUGCACUGCAAAUCUUAAAAGAUUAUAACUUAAUUAUUGUUCUCUAUUUCUUAAGUUUUUACUUAUUUACAUUGAAUAUUAAUUUGUUUUGUUGUAUAAUCCACGUUUACAAUAAUUGUGUGAUCUAUUUGAUUAAAAAUUAAUUCAGGAUUUUUUUUAUACUUUGGCAACUAUGUCAACUUAGAUCUCUGGCGUAGAUAAUGACGUGCAACGGUAAGUAAAUUAGAUGGACUGUAUGUGAGACAAAAUCUGAUUUAGGAGACUGAUUUAAUUGAAUUUUGUUUAAUUUUAAUUUUGGUUUGUAUUUUUUAACGCAACCUAUGCUUUGUAAAGGUUGACAUUUACUUUUGUAAAAAUGGUAUAUCCCUAAAAUAAAUAAAUAAAAUCUCACAUGCGACCACUCACGUUAAAGCCACCUAGCGACCAAUGCCAGGUUAAUAACAGCCAGAUCACUACCAUUGAUUCUGUAAAAUUUCUUGGUAUUUUUUUAGAUAGCAACCUUAAAUAGUCCCUUCAUAUCGAUUUGUUAAGUAAGAAAUUAGCCUCAUCUUGCUAUACAAUAAGAUCUGUUUCGAAGGAAAUCAAUCUAGCAUCUUCCAAAAUAACAAUUUUCCUUUGUUUGAGUCUCAUCUUCGACAUGGUCUUUCUUUUUGGGGUUCUAGUACAGCUGCCCAAUCCAAUGUUAUUUUUAAAUUACAAAAAAGAGCAAUACAGUAUCUGUUUGGCGGUAGAAGAACAACACAUUACAGAAGCUACUUCAAAGAUCACGGAAUUUUAACACUUCCCUCUUUAUAUAUUUUAGAUUCUGUUUGCUUAAUUCGUAAACACCUUAGGGAGCGUUCAAGUAUUACGUAACGCGAUUUUUGAAGAUUUUUGACCCCCCCCUCCCCCCUACAUAACGCACUCUAAUGGGCGUUUAACUAUUGCGUAACGCAAUUUUUGAAGAUUUCCCCCCCCCCCCCCCGCCCUCCUGCGUUACGUAAUACUUGAACGGUCCCUUACAUGUUUUUCCAGUAAGACCCAAUCAUGACUACUCCACCAGAAAUUCAACCUUUGAUAAGUUAGUAAAAAAAUCUGUAUUAUAUUCUGCAAAAAAUACAACCAGCUCCUUUUACAACUUAAAUCUGCAACAUCUUUCCCCAAGUUCCGUAAAAUGACAAAAUCCUAUCUACCUGAUAGACCAUAUUCUACUGAUAUUCAGCAUAUACAGCAGCUUAAACAACCUAUUAGUUACUUAGGAACUUAUUAGUUCCUAACAUUAUUUCUUGCAAUUUAUUUAAAUUUUGCUAUAUAUUGUUUUUAUUGUUUUGUUUUAUUUCAUUAUCUUUCAUUCUGUAAUAUUGACGAUUUAUGUAAUUUCCGUAAAUUGUAAUUGUUAUGUUACUGUUAUUUUCUGACUCUCUCUAAGCUUUGUCCAUAAAAUUGUACAAUUUUGAGUUACAAUAAAGCAUAUUUCUAUUCUAUUCUAUAAACUUUACAUUGAUAUUACUGCAGUAUACCAAUCUUUUAACUCCAAAUUCAGGCAACAUGCAUCCAGUGGCAGCUUUUGGGGGUAGGCAGGAUAGGCCGGGCCUACCCAAUAAUUUUAAGAGGUUUAAAAUUGAAAAAGAUAUAAAUAUUUAAAAAUUAUAUUAAAGCAUGUAAAUAACUUUUAAAUGUACUAAAUCACUCAAUACAUCAGCGUCCGUUAAGACAACUUUGUUAUAUUAUCACAGAAAGUAUCGAAUUGUAUUCAGGCAUUUUAAAUAUCAUUAAUGGGCCCGCUCGGACGUGGCCGACCUCGCUCACAUAGGAUCUCCGUACAAAAAGCAUUUGAAGUUAAGCAGCUUGCCGGAGAAUGAUUUUUAUAUUGCAGUGUUAUGCUUGGUGCAUAGGCCCGAUUGAAACGGGCCUUCGCCAAGCCUCGUUGCCACUUCCCUAACAACACACAACAUUCCAGGAAUGUACUACCAAAGUUCUAUCAAUAUUUGAAUGUCCUGGACAUUUAGGGAACAUUCGGUGAACAUCUGUUUAAAUUAUUCCUGGAAUGUUACCAUAAGACAUUCUGUGAACAUACUACUAAUGUUCCUAUAUUUUAAGUUGCGAAAUAAUACAUACGUGUAAGAGAUACAACAUUACUUAUAACAUACCAGACAAACUAAGUGACAUUUUAGGCCUACAGUGCAAUAAUAUGUCAAAUUUAAAGAGUUUCCCAAGAUUAUAAACAUACAAAUGUAAUAAAAAUUAUUGUUCGCGAAUAUUCAAUUUGGAAUGCGAUUUUGUUAAUAAAAAAAAUACUUAUAACUUAUGCAAAACCCAAGAGAGGCAUUUAUAUUUAUUUCUUUUGCGUUCAUUUUCAAAUUCGCCGUGCAUAUAUUUUUGUGCAUGGCGCUUGAGAGGGCAUCACGUGACUAAAAACGACCAACCAACGACCUCGCUUCGGCCAUCUUGGCAUCUUCAUCUUGGCGACCUUGCCUUGCCGUGGAUUGUUUUUAGUUGUUUGUAUUAUUUGUGCUUUUUAAGAAUAUUUUUUUAAUUCGGAUACUUUUAUAAUAGCUUUAAUAGUAUUAUUAACAUAGUGCAUAAAAUGGUGUCCUGUUUUUAACGCAGUUGGAGUAGCAGAAACAAAUGUAGAUAAAAAAAUCUGCAGGAAUAACGUUUCAAUUAUGACAGAAGCUCAAAACAAAUGACUGUGAAUGAAAAGCCCUAUUAAAAGCUUUCCAGAAGAUCCUGCGAAGAAGACAUGAAGUAUAGAUCAGAUUUGUUAAUAGAGGAGUAUGUUCAAAACACUUUUUAGAAAAAGAUAUUGACAGAACUUCACUUUCAUCUGUUCGUUUGAGAGACUGUGCUGUUCCAAUAGCUUAUGUCACACAGAAUCAGCUGAGAGAAGUGGUCUACAAAAAACCAGAAAGGAAACGGAAUAUGUGGCUACGAAAAGCAAAAGAAAGGUUUACAAAGCAAAUGUGACACAUUUUUUUAUAAUAUUUAGGAAUGUCAGCAAAUUACAUUAAAAAAUGUAUGUAAAGAUUUUUUGCAAUAAAAAUG
Long non-coding RNA from Diabrotica virgifera virgifera (western corn rootworm), 5157 nucleotides. RefSeq lists it as uncharacterized. The record is from RefSeq and is a predicted model, not a curated record. Lineage: Eukaryota; Metazoa; Arthropoda; Insecta; Coleoptera; Chrysomelidae. The transcript is spliced from 3 exons.